This 420-nucleotide ribosomal RNA is filed under the name uncultured ammonia-oxidizing beta proteobacterium. Its description in RNAcentral is "bacterial SSU rRNA". It matches the Rfam family "Bacterial small subunit ribosomal RNA", at positions 196 to 597 of the family's 1533-position model. Lineage: Bacteria; Pseudomonadati; Pseudomonadota; Betaproteobacteria. The record is from RNAcentral.
UUGGAGGAAAGCAGGGGAUCGUAAGACCUUGCGCUUUUGGAGUGGCCGAUGCCUGAUUAGCUAGUUGGUGGGGUAAGAGCCUACCAAGGCGACGAUCAGUAGUUGGUCUGAGAGGACGACCAGCCACACUGGGACUGAGACACGGCCCAGACUCCUACGGGAGGCAGCAGUGGGGAAUUUCGGACAAUGGGCGGAAGCCUGAUCCAGCAAUGCCGCGUGAGUGAAGAAGGCCUUCGGGUUGUAAAGCUCUUUCAGUCGAGAAGAAAAGGUUGCGACUAAUAAUCGCAACUUAUGACGGUAUCGACAGAAGAAGCACCGGCUAACUACGUGCCAGCAGCCGCGGUAAUACGUAGGGUGCGAGCGUUAAUCGGAAUUACUGGGCGUAAAGGGUGCGCAGGCGGCUCUGUAAGUCAGAUGUGA